This 256-nucleotide ribosomal RNA is filed under the name uncultured bacterium. RNAcentral's name for it is "partial 16S ribosomal RNA". It matches the Rfam family "Bacterial small subunit ribosomal RNA", at positions 524 to 777 of the family's 1533-position model. The record is from RNAcentral.
UACAGAGGGUGCGAGCGUUGUCCGGAAUCACUGGGCGUAAAGGGCGCGUAGGUGGCGACCCAAGUCGAUGGUGAAAGCUCGCCGCUCAACGGCGAGUCGGCCACCGAUACUGGGUUGCUGGAGCACUGUAGAGGCAGAUGGAAUUCCGGGUGUAGCGGUGGAAUGCGUAGAUAUCGGGAGGAACACCUGUGGCGAAAGCGGCUCACUGGACCACAACUGACGCUGAGGCGGCGAAAGCUAGGGGAAGCAAAGCAGG